RNAcentral lists this ribosomal RNA (198 nucleotides) under uncultured bacterium. Its description in RNAcentral is "partial 16S ribosomal RNA". It matches the Rfam family "Bacterial small subunit ribosomal RNA", at positions 326 to 539 of the family's 1533-position model. The record is from RNAcentral.
ACGCUCGACACCUACGGAAGCAGCAGUGGGGAAUAUUGCACAAUGGGGGAAACCCUGAUGCAGCGACGCCGCGUGGAGGAAGAAGGUCUUCGGAUUGUAGACUCCUGUUGUUAGGGGAAAAAGAGGAUGGUACCCAACAAGGAAGUGACGGCUAACUACGUGCUAGCAGCCGCGGUAAUCUGAGCGGGCUGGCAAGGC